RNAcentral lists this long non-coding RNA (9832 nucleotides) under Xyrichtys novacula (pearly razorfish). Lineage: Eukaryota; Metazoa; Chordata; Actinopteri; Labriformes; Labridae. The record is from RNAcentral.
UUAGCUUACGAGCUAAAGUUACUUAGCACAGAUGAAAGUUAAAACAAAGACGUUUAGCAAACUGUUAAAGCACACAAACCAUCGUCAUAUGAGAAAUCCGACGCUAUGACUCUCCACAAGUUGUCCUUCAGGUCGUUAUCUUUGUUAUAUUUGUGUCUUUAAUCAAAAAGCACUCUGUUCUCCGACACGUAAACAAUCAGCCUGUCGGCCAUGUUGGAUAUACUGGUGAAUCAGACGUUGCAACAACACGAAAUUUGGUUUGUCAAAAGUGGACACACAGUAUGCGACACUUUAAAAAAUUCGACCGUGAUACGAAAAAAUGAGGAUGGGAAAACGAUGCUGAUGUGAACGCUUGUAAUGACAGGAUACGGGUUCGAAAAAAAAUAAUAACGUCUGAAAUAAUUCUAGGUGAUAAAAUUCUUUAAUUCAUUCAGGAAACCCUUUAAAUCUGGUAUCCUUAUGUUCUGUGUCUUCAUGAGAUUACCCAAUGAUUCUGGGACCCUGUCAGUUUCUUCCCCGCUUAUCCACUUACCCUCAAAACAGCCCUUAAAAUAAAGUAUUUUUCGAAUUCGGCUCUUGCCUUUUUCCUUUAGUGGUUCAAGUUUGUGUAAUAAAAUCACAAGAGGACACCCUCUUACGAAGGGACAAAAAGUUCCAGUUCAUAAAACCUUGUUGUCGAAAAAGGACUCUGCGCAGAUUUUCCCCUCCCCUGAAAGUAUCUGAGGAACAGACCUGUAGAAAAUGCUGCUGCAACAAGUUUUCUAUUCUCGCCGUGCAGCAGCUGCUGCUUGUUGAGCAAGGUUGGUUCGGUCAACCAGGCAGCAGAGCACCUGGUAUGUGUGUGAACUAGAAACCCUGCAUGAUCAAUGAGCAGUCACCAAUUCCAGUUGUUCUCUCUCUCUCUCUCUACCGUCCCCUUGAACGCCAUCCUUUCGGGUUCAUUUGGACGACUUUUGCAAUUUACCUGCUAUUUAAGUCUGGAGAGUAAAUGGGGCGGAAAUAGCCGUGAUCUUUGCACUGACUUGAUUUCAACCACCUGAUCUUGGUAAUAAAAGCUCAUCUUGAGAGUUGGCGCCUGUUGACUUCACAUCCAUCAAAUACAUUUCCAGUCUCACAUUCUACAAAGGCUUUCCUGCUUAAUUAUUGAUGAUAGUUCAAAAUCACAGUGACAAAUAGAACCGUAGUCGGGCUAAAUGUAGAGCCGAAGCUUUACUUUGCCUUUUGUUCACAGUCGCUUUGUCUGAAAUCGUCACAUGGGGUACCUCUGUUCUGCUUUGCUCCUUCUAUGGUGGCGUGGAUGCUAUUUUUAGCGUGCAGGUGUUGAAAAGGCUUCGCAUCAGGGGUCAGCUGUAAUGUCACAAAUUCCCGUGUUAAUAUAACUGACCCAUUUCUUUGUCUAUGAUGUGCUAGAUACAGCACAAAGGGGGACACAUUAUAUACCUGAUCCCUUGCAGCAUGUACUUGUUAGCACAGCCAUGGUGUUAAACUCUUCUUCAACCCUGUUUCUUUGGAUUCGAAAGGGAAUCGAUGAAACAUUUGUGACCUAAGGUUCCUGCUCCAUAACUGCUGCAGCUGCCAGAUUUGCAUUGAUGCAUAUUGUUUAAUACUUUGGUGAGAUCAAGGCUGAAAUUGACUUCUCAUCAGGCAAUGAUGCAUUUUUAUUGACUGGGAUAAUGGCUCCUGACUGUAAUGGCUUUUCGCUCCAUCUUACCACCAUCCUCAUUUUCCCCAACUUUCUUUUUUUCAUACAACCUCCCCCCCUUUUUUUUUCCACGCACUUCACUGUGCCUUAUGUUACAUCCAUUAAGAAACCAAUUUCAGCCAUAAUUUCCAAAGCGCCAACUUUUCAGGUGUAAGUGCUACAGCUAGCAUCUUGUCUAUAAUUGCGGCCUAAUUAAAUCCCAUCAUCUCAUGAGCAUCGUUCGGGAGGCCAUUCCAAAUUUCAUCAAGAAAACUUAUAAUCGUGACUUUGUAGGGAUUUCCAAUGCAAUUAGCUUCACACAUGGCGCAAAAAAAAAAAGUCAAUAAGAAUUUGAGAGGGGUUUCUAGCCUCUCAUUAUUGAUCUGUUGUGGACUGGCUGCCAUUUCUCCUCUAGUUUUAUGUAUUUUCAUGUUCAUAGACAGUGGUGUACUCAGGCUGUUUGAAAGCUGGGGCAAAAAUGAUGAAAAGGGCACCUAUAUAUGCCACCAGUGCACAGAGAGAAAGUUGUGCUUAACCUUCAGAAGUCCCAGCUAUAUUUUGCAAUUUUUGGUUCGCCUUUUUGUUUUAAUCUAAGUAGCAACUCUAUCCAUUCAAGCACAGCAAAUAUAUACACAUCUUUUUUUUUUUUUUCAGGACAACCUCAGCUGUCGGAAACGGAAAUUGAUCCCAACAGUACUUUGCACAAAAAACACAUAAAUCUACAGUGACUAAGCCUUUUCUCACCUGUAUAUCAUUCUGUUAAGUCUUGGCUAUCAGGAGAAGAAAUAUUUGGAUUGGAACAAACACACAACAGAAACUAUUUACAUAUUUACACAAAUUCUUACAGGUGUUUUUUGCUAUUUACAGUUGUUUAUGUCACUCCUUGAAGCAGUUCCUGUCUGGGAUGAGACAGAGGGCCACAUCAUACUGCUUGUAAUCUCUUCUUUGCUUGUUUCCAAGCAUUGAGGACCAUUAUUUCUUAUUUUGCAGACAAGCAGGGAACUUUCUUGUCUCUUGUUGAUCUUUGGUUGCCUCUUAUUGGACACUAUUGUCAAGGGAACAAUAGAAGAAGAAUAAAAGACCAUGUAAUUGGUUGAAAGUUUGACAGAAAAAGACGCAGUCGAAACAGCUUGUCAACCCCGGAAGACAUUAGUGGCAUUUAGCGAUAGUAAUAGCCACCUUUUUUUAUCACAACAAUAUGAUAAAUAAUCAUGUUUUCACCGGUAUUUCACUGCGGAUUUACCAUCAAAAGUCUUUGAUCAAACACCUAUUUUUGUGACUGGAUUGCAAACCUUGUGGGAGGUGUAGAAAUGCCUGGAAACCCUCGAUAGAUUGCCAGAAGUGUAAGCUUUGAACACUAUUUACUCCAUAGAGAUAAACAGUAUAGUUACCGAGAAACUGUGAACAAUAUUAAUGGUGUCACGUGAGCUUUCUGGGGAUCCAGCGGAAUUCUAAAUGUUACUGAAGAUCUGCCUCCAUGAGAGUUUUAGGACUGUUUUGGACUAUCCUUUCAGCCGGCAUGGGGCAGUAUUUUUAUAUUUUAGAUACUUAAAGUGCAAUCAGUGUGCACUUUUUAUAUAUUUCAAAAACUGAUGGCCAUACUGAGAGCAAAGUGAGGAAGUCUGGAAAGCUCUCAUUAAUGUUAUUGUUUACAGAAAGAAACAAGAUCCAGGGGGUACUUUUCCUAUGUUUAUAUACUGAAAGGGAAUUCAGAGGGUAAUUUUCAUAUAUUUUUGUACUAAAUGGGCAUCUAACGGCCCAUAUUGGAUGCCGUAUCAGCUGGGAUAGCAAUUUCCCAUGCAUUUUACAUGGAGAAGGCAUCAAAGAGGGCAUUUUAUAAUGUUUUAUUUGCGUCAGGACUGACCCGACUUAAGGUCAAUCCAUGGCAUUUUAUUCAGACUGAGUUUACCAGGAGAACCCCCUGCCUCGUUAUGGGUACACCACUGUCCUCGGGUAUAUAAACCAGGAAAUAUGAGAUGUUAAUUACAAAUAUUGCGUCUCAAGGGAUGUCUCACUGAUAAACACAGUUAUUCACUCUUCCAUUUAAGUACACAAGCCUCCUUUCUGUGCGCAAGCUUUGAAAUAAGGUGGGUGUAUUUCUCACUUCAUACUACGAAUAAAGCCUCCCAAUAAAAGAGUAUCUAUCUUUACCCCACUGCAAACAUGAUUUCCUCUGAAAACUUGCCGGCCACCUUGUCUUCUGUGACCUGCUCUAUCUGACUCAAUGAGAGAUUUGUCAUGUGCCUUAAUUUAGAUAUUCUAUAUUCUGGGUUCCCGGACCCACAGGGAAGGACAUAAUUGAAUAGGCUGUGUCAAAGCCUCCCCCAACUCCCCAAAAACCUCCCAGGGACGGGCUAACGUUAAUUAUCUCCCAAUGCAAUAUGGCCUAGUUUUAUAAUUACUGGUCCUGCCAAAUAUAUUACAACAUACUAACCCUCUCAACAGACGGUUAUUCAUGUAGCAUGUGCGAUUCAUAGGCAUGUGCUGCUUCAGGAUUUGCUUUCUUACCUUAUUUACAGACCGGAUAACACUAUUUGUGCAGUAAGAGUUGAUUGAAUUGCGUGUCACAAUCCCAGACUGUUAGCUAAAAAUCUAAGACAGGCUGUUCAUUAGUUGUACAUAUCUUAUCAGCACGAGUGUCCUCAUUUCAGCAUCAAAGGAGAGCUCUGUGGAUUUAACAUAUUGAGAUUAGUUUACUUGUCAAAGGGAGUCAGCCUGUGAAACCAGUUGUUUAACGUCUCCUGUGACACUGAGGGAGAUUAUGAAGCUUGAAACAUGACUUAGAGUCUACAGGCAUGCUGGUUUCUCCGAGAGGCUGGGGCUAGACACAGUGGUGCUGUGAGCAACAUGAGGACAUCAGCUUGUGAACUAGAUAAAAACACAGUUCAGCUGUUUUUAAAGGGAUAUUCCGGGGUAAAAUUAAUUUAGGGUCAAACACACCGUAACACUGAGUUAGACACCCCAUCGAGAGAUGAAUGUUGCCAACUGCUUGCUUCUCUAGUCAUACCAACUUUAGUAACGACCGCACGAUAGCAAUGCAGAGAGCCACGCGCUCAACCAAAACGCCACUCUAUAGCCACAAAUAAUGCUCAGAGCAGCACCUAACUUCAUCAACAGUACAUAUAAGGUCCCAGCCACAGUACUAGCCACCAAACAUCUUUUUAACUUUGUCUAAUUCCGUCGGCAAAGAGACUCAACACAACUCACCAUCUCUCUUCCAGCAGCCGUUUGUUUCCUUAUAGAAAUGCGAUCAGACAGAGACGCUAAGGCAAAAGAACUACCGCAUCUGCAGCGCAAAAUGAUUAAGAUGGUGAUUACUACUUCAGGGAAAUAAAGUAAUAAUCAUAAAUGUUCUUCCUUGAGCUGCGUCACCCCAAUGCACUCGAUGGACUCGCCCGUAGGUCUCCUUACAAAUUAAAUUGCUGGAAGAGAGUAGGUGAGUUGUGUUUAGUCUCUUGGCUGGGAUCCUAUAUGUACUGUUGAUGAAGUUAGGUGCUGUUCUGAGUAUAGAGUGGCGUUUUGGUCGAGCAUGUAUUGCUAUCUGUGGUUGCUACUAAAGUUGGUAUAACUAGAGAAGCAAGCGGUCGACAACAUUCAUCUCUCGAUGGGGUGUCUAACUCGGUGUUACCGUGCAUUUGACCCUAACUUAAUUAUACACUGGAAUAUCCCUUUAAUGACAGCUGUUUUAUCUUUAGUUGAGUGCUUAAAAUCAUUACGGUUCAUCAUCUGGGAAUUAUGAAUCUCCUUUGCCACCCUACGUACAAUGCAAACCUUGACUCAAAUGAUCCUAAAUCUGGCGUAGUCCAUCCUCUUGGGACAAUGGACAAGGUUAUUAGGUUAAUCAUAAGGGUUUAUCAUCUGGGAACCAUGACUCUUCCUAUAGAUAUGCUAAUCAGUUCAGGAGAGACAUCCCCUUGGUUCAAAAAAUCCAGCCAACAUGUAGCGCUAAUGAUCCUAGAACCGCCAGGAUCCAUCCUCUUAGGACAAAGAAAAUAAAGAAUUUUAUGGCAUCAAGCAUUUGCUGAACUAUGUAAGCCAAGAGGUAAAAAAAAAAAAAAAAAGAUGACGUAACAAAAUAGAAGUUUUACUUAAAUUCUGGCGCUAACGGUUUUGUCAGAGGAUCACUUACAAAUCAGUAGGGUUCAUCUCCUGAGGCUCUUGAUUUUGAGUAAUGUCAUGGUAACCCAAGAGCAGGGUUUAUUAGAGUGCUGACCAAAUUUCCACUUGCUUGCAGUAAUAAAAGAGAAGCAAGAAGACAGCAAUAGUCUGUGAGAGUUAUCCUCCGGAGAGCGGGGUUCUUUUCAGGCACUACAACAGCGAUCUAUAUUUUUAUUGCAUGUGUUUAUAUAAUUGAGUCUCUUUUAAAGCGAAAAUCAACAGCAAGUGAAGUUUUGGAGCGUCAAGAUUAGUAGGAUUUAUCCUCUGGGGACUGAGUGUAAGAAAUAUUAUGGCAAUAUGUCCACUAAAUGCUUGAAUAUUGAUUUAUACCGACAUUUGAACAGUACUUCACCCUAAUCCACUGCUUUAUUUUAUGAAAAUGUAGUCCCUAUAUGCUGUUAAAUACCAUUCUUUCCAGCAGAGAUAUCAAACGCUCCCCAACCUGGAAAAGCAUUUGACAAAGUCGAGCAGCUUUGUUCUUAUUCUCUGACACCAGCCUUUUGUUUAACUUGGAAGCCAAAAUGGUCACAGGGGAUCAAAUUAUUUCUGUGUCUGGACUGAGACUGGACUUGGAUGGGUGGCGGAUAUCCAGUGCUGAUUAAAAACGAACAACAAAAUCACCCCUGGACUCUCCGAAUGGAGACCAUUGUUGCAUUUAAGACCUUCUAUGCAGUAAAAGGCUGCAAGUGGAUUUGGCAUUUAACAUAUGGGAUGGGAAUUUUUAAUUAAAUAUUCAACAGUUUAAUGAAUUAUUCUGUAUCUCAUCAUUUUUCAGACCCGGGGGUAAAACAGACGUGUUACACCUCCAUAACCAGACUGAGCUUUCAUACAUAUGGUUAAGAUCCAAACACUUUUAUUUUACAGUAUUGUGCUGUAAUUAGCUUGCUAGCUCCCUAAACAUUGCAGCAGGGUUUGGAAAACUAUAACAGCAUAGGAAAAAAAAGUGAAUUCUAUUAAGUUUUCAAAGUUAACAUCAACUGCUGUUGGCUUUUUACAUGCAUUUACCGCAAUUACAUCUUUAAAUUUAAUUGGCAGCCUCUAUUUCCUCUUGGGAACAAAUAGUUAUGUAAUUUUUAGUCAUAUUUCCCCACUUUACGGGCUGUGUUUGCACGCUAACAACCCAUUAAACCUUCAAAACCAUUAAUAUUCUGUAUCAUUAUGUCACUGCAUGUUUAGCAUAAGUGCCACUUAUUGCACUGUUGGCUCAAGUGCUGGGAAGUAAAUCAUUCGUGGCAAUUUUUACCAUCAGUCUCUAAGAGUGGGGUUGGUCCUAUAGGUAUUGAAUGGUUUAUGUGCAUGAUGUGAAGCUUUUAUAUCCAUUUUGUUGUUGAUCUCUUUAUGUAAAAUCAUUCUGCACCCAGAUAAGAGUUUGGAAGAACAAUUAUUCCCAAUCGCCUCAUCUGGAUUCUAUAUAUUCAAUAUGAGCUUUCAAUGGCUGUUUAAUUGGUUUUAAUGUAUCUGUGUGAGUAUUCAUUAUCAAAGAUCAAAAAGUAUCCAGAUAAGAAGGUUGGCAUCUUGCACCAAAGCGUCCCCGAUAGUAAGUGCAAAUCAGGUCUACUGUGUCUACGGCUAAGCCCUGUGAGCAGUGGAAAGACCAGAAAGAAGCUGUAAAAGGCCAGACCAUUUACCAUUUAUAGGCUCCUUCAUUUCUUCUGCUGUGGUCCCGCAGCACUUGCCUUACAUGGUAAGGCCAUAUUAUAUCCAGUUAACCCCAAGUCUUGAUUUAACUGCACUCAUCCCCGAAGCAAUGAUCUAUAUCGAGCUGAGCCUUUUCACCUCGAUUAGCAUAAACACUCGCUAAAUGGAAGAAUAAAGUCUCCAUUAUGCCCUACUUUUGGAAAAUCAGAUUGCGUGUUAGAUUUUGUAAAUGUUUUCCUCUCUCAGCCUUGAUACUGUUCGUUUUUUUAGUUUUAUUAUUUAUUUAUUUUUUCUCUUGCACUGAUCAAACUGAGUAAACUGCUGCAUUCAACCUUUUUUACCCAGAAGGCUGUUAGCUUUUGUUCCUCAGAAAUGGCCUCAGGUGUUCUUCGGGGUAAAUAAGGGCACACUGUCAUAACGGCGAAGCUGCGGGACUUCAGAGAGGUCACAAAUGAAUCAUCCUGGUUCAGCGUGAGGUUCAGAGCAAAAAUAAUAAAUAAAAAAAUAAAAAAAAUAACACCUUGUAGGAUCACAGGAGGAAAGUUAUAUGGUAGAAUUACUGCUCUACUUUGUUUGAGAUAGAAGUAUAUUAGACUUUAUCCUUUUUGCUUAUUGUCCUCCGUAACCAUUUUGUUGCUUAAAAUGACUGAAUGGGUGAACGGGACUUUACAAAAGCAAAAAAGUACACUUCAACUUUGUUUAUUACAUACUUUAACUACACUUUCACCACACUUUAAAAAAGUUUAAAGACUUCUUAAAAAAGUUCUAUGAUGCGACUAGUACAUAAAAUGUAGAGAAACACAUUUGCAGUAUAACAAUAUAUUGAAUAAUUGAGUAUGUUUUUGGUGUACUGUGCUUGAUUUGCAUAUUGUCCUAGUUUUGCCUGCCUACCUACCUACCUACCUACCUACCUACCUACCUACCUACCUACCUACCUACCUACCUACCUACCUACCGAGGUACUCUUUUGUGUGUCUUGCUUGCACAUCUAUUCUUUGUAUUAUUUCACCAGACUGAGCCAUCUCUUGAAAGACCCAGAUAGUACAAAAAAGUUGAAAUCUGCUUUUUCUCUUCUUUAAUAAACCUAGCAGUAACCAUCUUUCACACUGUAAUUAAGAAUUGGGUUAACGUUUCAAGGAUCUUACUUUUUCUAAAUAGUAAUGUCUGAAUUAUUUCUAUUUUUAUUGGAUCCAAGAUCCAUUUGAUUGAAAUGCAUCCUGUUCACAUUGUAGAAAAUAAUUUCAAUACAUCUACUCAAGAAAAGCUGACCACUUUUCACUUCCACAAUCAAGUAGCUCUAAAGAACUUUCUCCCUUUUCUCAUGAAACUCAGGUCACUUCUUGCUUUGAUACAAAUGUGUAAAGGUGAAGGUCACUGACCUUUGACCACUAAUAUUCAGCCAGAGGUUAGUUCAUCCCAGCCUCACAGGAUUUUUACCAAAGCCCUUUGACUUUUCUUGGGUUUUAACUGCGUAGUUAAAAUAAUUGGGUUUAUUUCAGACUUCAAAUCUUGAACUCAUCGUCUGUGUUUGAAUCAUAAUGAUGCUGAAAAAAAUAAUGAUUCUCCAGAUUUCAUAGAGCAUCUGUUUCUAAAUUCUUUGGCUUUGUCUGCUCUGAGGUUUCUGCUUUCCUAUGAUACAAAGAAGGGGUGAGAAGUCCAAGGAAAAAGGUUCGGAUUUACUGCUGAAGAGAAAAUUAAUCAAGGAACCCAGACACUGAACUUCUGUUUUAGCCAACAUGGUGGGUCUCAGUUUCACUGUGUAAAGGUCCUUACACACCGGGAACGACGCAAAGAUUUUGCGACUUUCUGGAGGGAAAAAAGACGCGUCCUGGGUGGAAGCGAGAAGACUGACACAACAGCAGACUGACUGUUUUUCAGUUCUGAUUAGACACUAGUGUUGAGAUGUCUGUCUGUCAUGAUAGCAUGUACUGAGUCGGGGCCAGUACCAGAUAAGCACAUUAAACUAUAAUCCAUAAACGUAAGGUAACAACCGAGACCUAAUGGUGCUGUGACAGCAACGCGGUUGAGUUUGAGACAGUGAAAAUACAUAUGGUAUGUUGUAUCUGAACAGGUUAGCUUAUGAGCUAAAGUUACUUAGCACAGAUGAAAGUUAAAACAAAGACGUUUAGCAAACUGUUAAAGCACACAAAACAUCGUCAUAUGAGUAACGCUAUGACUCUCCACAAGUUGUCCUUCAGGUCGUUAUCUUUGUAAUGUUUGUGUUUUUUUAUCAAAAAGCACUCUGUUCUCAGACACAUAAACAAUCAGCCGGUCGGCCAUGUUGGAUAUACCGUCGCAACAACACAGAAUCUGAUUGGUCAGAAGUGGACACACAGUAUGCGAAACUUUAGAAAA